GGACUACCCGGGUAUCUAAUCCUGUUUGCUCCCCACGCUUUCGCACAUGAGCGUCAGUACAUUCCCAAGGGGCUGCCUUCGCCUUCGGUAUUCCUCCACAUCUCUACGCAUUUCACCGCUACACGUGGAAUUCUACCCCUCCCUAAAGUACUCUAGUUACCCAGUCUGAAAUGCAAUUCCCAGGUUAAGCCCGGGGCUUUCACACCUCACUUAAAUAACCGCCUGCGUGCCCUUUACGCCCAGUUAUUCCGAUUAACGCUCGCACCCUCCGUAUUACCGCGGCGGCUGGCAC
RNAcentral lists this ribosomal RNA (292 nucleotides) under uncultured bacterium. RNAcentral describes it as "partial 16S ribosomal RNA". RNAcentral also lists the same sequence under 1 other name. The record is from RNAcentral.